UUCUAAAGGAAGGACACGGAAGUUGGAUUAUUACAUAGAUUCAAAUACAGUUAGAUCUCCAUGGACCAGCUCAAUCAGGCUAAGUGACUUUUCCAAAGAUCUCAGCUCAAAUAGGGAUGCACCUGAGGAGAAUCUUAUCCUCAGAAUUGAAGUUCAUUAGAUCGUGCUCCUCCAAUUCUACCACCAUGUGCCUGCAAAUCUCAGAGGACCUUCAUCCACCAAAAAUCUGAUUCUCUCUAACGCCUCAUUUUUUGGAGUGGAGUCCAUGAACCAGCAGCUUGUGCAUCACUUGGGAGCAGUUAAUAUUUGUUAAAAAUGCAGAGUAGCAAGCCCUAUCCAGACCUGCUGAUUCAGGACUGCAAUUCAACAAGAGUCCCAAGGUGAUCCAUUGACACAAUGAAGUUUGAAAGUCCUGCCUUGGAAGUCAUUCAACCCCCCUCAUUUUCCAGGGAGGGAAACUGAACUUCAACCAAAUGACUUUCCAGUACAUCCCACAGCAGAAUCCAGUUUGGAUUCCAGGAUUCUGAUUCAGCAGUAUAACUUUUGGCACUAUCAUGAACCUCUGUGGGCCUUUGUUUCCAUAUCAGUAAAAUGAGGGUACUCACAA
Long non-coding RNA from Orcinus orca (killer whale), 607 nucleotides. RefSeq lists it as uncharacterized. The transcript is spliced from 2 exons. The record is from RefSeq and is a predicted model, not a curated record. NCBI's taxonomy places the organism in Eukaryota, Metazoa, Chordata, Mammalia, Artiodactyla, Delphinidae.